GUAGGGGGCGAGCGUUGUCCGGAAUCACUGGGCGUAAAGGGCGCGUAGGCGGCCUGGCAAGUCGGAUGUGAAAGGUCCCGGCUCAACCGGGGAGGUGCAUUCGAAACUGCCGGGCUUGAGGGCAGGAGAGGGCAGCGGAAUUCCCGGUGGAGCGGUGAAAUGCGUAGAGAUCGGGAGGAACACCAGUGGCGAAGGCGGCUGCCUGGCCUGGCCCUGACGCUGAGGCGCGACAGCGUGGGGAGCGAACGGGAUUAGAUACCCCGGUAGUCCACGCCGUAAACGAUGGGUGCUAGGUGUGGGAGGUAUCGACCCCUUCCGUGCCGGAGCUAACGCACUAAGCACCCCGCCUGGGGAGUACGGCCGCAAGGCUG
Molecule: ribosomal RNA, 371 nt
Filed under: uncultured bacterium
Lineage: Bacteria
Description: bacterial SSU rRNA
Rfam family: Bacterial small subunit ribosomal RNA
Source: RNAcentral